This is a long non-coding RNA of Salvelinus fontinalis (brook trout), 1992 nucleotides long. RefSeq lists it as uncharacterized. NCBI's taxonomy places the organism in Eukaryota, Metazoa, Chordata, Actinopteri, Salmoniformes, Salmonidae. The record is from RefSeq and is a predicted model, not a curated record. The transcript has 5 exons.
AUAAUCUAGUGGACGGGACGCUUCUUCAACAACAACAGCUAGUCAGACACCUCGGUAGCUUUCUAGCAAACACAGCUACAACAUUCACCCGCUUUACACUGUUUUGGUGUAUAUUAGUCGCUGUGUAUUAAACACACUUCUGUCGUAUGUACUUGUUAGCCCAUUUAAUUAUAUGUUUACGUUGUUUGUCAGCUAGCUGGUUUGCUAAGUUAGCUUAGAACUAAGCUAGUCGCUAAUGCUAGCUAGCUAACAUCUCCGACCAUGAGUUCACUAAGCUACUCUCCUCCUACUAAAGAAGAGGUCUGCUGGAUGGAGAAAGAAGCUCUCGUUAAAGAGGAAGAGAAAGAUGUUACAAUACAAAAACAAGUAGAGGGUGAGGCUGUUACCGUGAAAGAAGAAGAGAAAGACGUUACAGUGAAAGAAGAGGAAGACGCGUUCAGAGUGAAAGAGGAGGAGGAUGUUACAAUAAAAGAAGAUGAGGAAGAGAAAGAGGAGAGAGCAGUUUUUGGAGUGAAAGAGGAGGCGGGGGAGAUGACUGUCACAUUGAAAGAGGAGAAGGAGGAAGAAGAGGAGGUUGGAGAUCUGUUUAACACCAGUAGCUAGCUACCAGCCAUGGAGGAGGGUGAAAGGAUAGCAGCCCCAACUGUCAGUGAGAGAGGAGGCUAUUCUGGAUAGGGAAGGUACUUUUGUGUAGUUCCUGUCCCUAGAAGUGAGGACGGAGAUAAUAGUAACAUAAUAUUCAGUGUGGUGUAAUUUGACUAUAAUGAAGUGUGUUUCUUGUGAGGUUUUCUGUCCUCGGAUAAAGAGCGCUAUGAAAGCCAGUCUACAUAUGAAGAGGUCCCAAUGAAGAGCAGUGGUUCUCAGUCCUGGGGACUCAGAGGCACAUUGUUGUUUUUGCCUCAGCACUGCACAGCUGAUUCAAAUGAUCAACUCAUCAUCAAGCUUCAAGUGAUACCUUGUAACUGGAGAUUCCUUCAAAACGAUUGCCUACAGUUACCGUUUAGGGCACUGCAAGGUUAGGUGACCAGGGUCAUCUGGGACUGCCUCCUGGAGGAAUUCAGAUGUGUGAAGGCUACCUGUGUCCUGCGUAACUUCAUGAGGAUGGACACGAGGACCAGGAGGGGAUCUGCAGCUCGCCGCCGUGUCCCAGAGGAGGAGUCUGCUGCUCUGCAGGAUGUUUCAAGGAUGGGGUCCAACAACGCAGCAAGAGAGGCAAUCCGUGUGCAGGAGAUCUUCACCUCCUACUUCUUCAAAGAGGGUGCUGUUCCCUGGCAACACCAUAGACUACACUAUGCUCAACCAAAGGCUCUUUUAAGAGCCAUCCAAUAUUGAAAAAAUGUAGAACAAUUAGACACCCUAUAACCCACACACUCAUGUAUCAAUCUGAUUGAUGGAUUGUGUUGUGCAGUAAGCAGGCUCAGGUGUAUAACUGUGGCUCCUUCCACCUUCAAAGAAUAGGCAAGAGGGCCAACCAUGGAGAAUAGUAAGACACUUCAUUAUUUCUAUAACUACGCUAUAUUGUUUGUCCUUGUGGGUCCGUUCAUGUUUUUCAGCAUAAAGUACUCUGCAGCCACUUAGUGUGGUGUGGACACCAGUCCUCUAGGUUAUAUCAGCUGUGUCGGUGAACCCCUCCUGCAUCUGAACUGGCUACAUAGAGGGCACAGCAUGAUCAGAGAUAUGUUUUGAUGUGAGAGGAUGCCAACCCCCAGUCCCAUCAUCACCAGCUCACCCUCUUUUAAGAUAACCUUUGGGCCAUCUAGAGACACUAUUAUGUAAUUGUGAUGAACUGAGAGAAUAUUUAGGUAGCACUGUGUUUCAUUAAUCAUGUGCUGCCUUCCCUGCUCCUCUUUCCCUUUCUGUCUUUUACACCUCUCUCAUCUCCUCUUUCUUCCUCUGUUUUUAUAAUGCACAACAGAUGUGCAUUGAAGUACAGAUUGAACUUGUAUUUAUAACACUUGGAUAAUGAGCUUUUCAAUAAAGCGUUUCACAUUC